Molecule: unclassified non-coding RNA, 402 nt
Filed under: soil metagenome
Description: partial contains 5.8S ribosomal RNA, internal transcribed spacer 2, and large subunit ribosomal RNA
Rfam family: 5.8S ribosomal RNA (bases 1-121)
Source: RNAcentral
GAUGAAGAACGUAGCGAAAUGCGAUAAGUAAUGUGAAUUGCAGAAUUCAGUGAAUCAUCGAAUCUUUGAACGCACCUUGCGCCCUAUGGCCAUUCCGAAGGGCAUGCCUGUUUGAGUAUCAUGAACACCUCAACUCUCAUGGCUCGCCAUGAUGAGCUUGGACUUUGGGGGUCUUGCUGGCCUGUGGUCGGCUCCUCUCAAAUGGAUCAGCUUGCCAGUGUUUGGUGGCAUCACAGGUGUGAUAACUAUCUGCGCUUGUGGUUUUCCAUCAGAUAACCUUCAGUGAUGGAGGUUCGCUGGAGCUCAUAAACGUCUCCCCUAAGCGGGGACAGCCCUUUGAAUGUUUGAUCUCAAAUCAGGUAGGACUACCCGCUGAACUUAAGCAUAUCAAUAAGCGGAGGA